UACAGAGGGUGCGAGCGUUAAUCGGAAUUACUGGGCGUAAAGCGCACGUAGGUGGCUUUGCAAGUCGAUUGUGAAAUCCCCGGGCUUAACCUGGGAACUGCAGUCGAGACUGCUCUGCUUGAGUAUGGGAGAGGGAGGUGGAAUUUCCGGUGUAGCGGUGAAAUGCGUAGAUAUCGGAAGGAACAUCAGUGGCGAAGGCGACCUCCUGGACCAAUACUGACACUCAAGUGCGAAAGCGCGGGGAGCAAACAGG
RNAcentral lists this ribosomal RNA (253 nucleotides) under uncultured bacterium. RNAcentral describes it as "partial 16S ribosomal RNA". It matches the Rfam family "Bacterial small subunit ribosomal RNA", at positions 524 to 776 of the family's 1533-position model. The record is from RNAcentral.